CUCUAAUCAACGGAUGUCUUGGCUCCUUACACGAUGAAGAACGUUGCAUAAUGUGAUAAGUAACUGGAGUUGCGAGCAUUGUGACAAGUUAAUCUUUGAAUGCAAAUUGCGCGUACUGUUACUUUCGGGUAAUAGUUGCAUGUAUGCCACAGUACU
This 156-nucleotide ribosomal RNA is filed under the name Tetratrichomonas gallinarum. RNAcentral describes it as "5.8S ribosomal RNA". It matches the Rfam family "5.8S ribosomal RNA". From Rfam's summary of the family: 5.8S ribosomal RNA (5.8S rRNA) is a component of the large subunit of the eukaryotic ribosome. It is transcribed by RNA polymerase I as part of the 45S precursor that also contains 18S and 28S rRNA. Lineage: Eukaryota; Parabasalia; Trichomonadida; Trichomonadidae. The record is from RNAcentral.